Homo sapiens (human) is the source of this 775-nucleotide long non-coding RNA. Ensembl annotates it as long intergenic non-protein coding RNA 2228. The record is from Ensembl. NCBI's taxonomy places the organism in Eukaryota, Metazoa, Chordata, Mammalia, Primates, Hominidae.
GAACGCCGCGCGGCGGAGGCCAUUAAGGCGUGGACGGCCCGGAAGGCGGCCUAGGGACGCAAGCAGGCUUGGCCGCCUCUUUCGGCCACGGAGCCGCGCAGAUCCGGUUCCCGGGUGACCACUCUGUCGCCAUUGGGCGAGACCUACCUAGUCCUGACGACAACGGACAAAGGCCUUAAGGGGCCUGAAAGCAACCUCCAGUCCUGCAAGCUUCAUUCCUGAAUGGUAGAAAGCAGUCUUCAGCCUGAGACCCAUCCCUAGACUCUAUGGCACAAAGAGGCACUACAGAAAAUCCCAGAAUUUAUUCUGACUGAAGCAAUAUGCAACUGGCAAAACUGGCAGCUGAAAGGAUCCUGAAUAAGAAGAACUCCUCAAUUUGAAUCCAGGCUCUAUGCCAGGUAUUGGAAUACAAUAAGGAGCAAGACAGAAGAAUUUACCCGGUAGCAGGGUAGGAAGAUGACCAUCUUUGCAUCAGAAUAACUGUAUAGUAGUGUAGACAGGAAGUAAAAUGCAAGUAUAUCUUAAAAGAAAACAACAGUAUCUCUGUGAUUGAUACAUGAAGUGGCCAUCUCAAUAUGAUCAAUUAUGUUUGGAAAGAGAAAUUCCCUCAAACAUAUAAGAAUGGACUUUUAGUCUCACCUCCCUUAUUCCAGUCUUUGUGUAAUCUUGAAAGUGACACAGCCUUUUGUGGUAUUUUUCUGGGUUGUAAAAUGUGAAAAAAGAUUAUUCGCAUCUCAAAAUUACUAUCAGGAUUAAAUGAAAGAAUUUGCAUAAG